RNAcentral lists this transfer RNA (69 nucleotides) under Silvanus bidentatus. RNAcentral's name for it is "tRNA-Gly". Lineage: Eukaryota; Metazoa; Arthropoda; Insecta; Coleoptera; Silvanidae. The record is from RNAcentral.
AUUUAUAUAGUAUAAAAAUUAUUUUUAACUUCCAAUUAAAAGAUCUAAUAAUUAUAAUUAGUAUAAAUA